GAUCAGGUCCUGAAAAAGGGGAAGAGUCGUCUUGAUUCCGUCGAUGACAAAUUCGUCAAGCACGCGGCGCAGCCGCAUCAUGCACUCGACGCGCGUCCGGCCGUG
Molecule: small RNA, 105 nt
Filed under: Sinorhizobium meliloti 2011
Lineage: Bacteria; Pseudomonadati; Pseudomonadota; Alphaproteobacteria; Hyphomicrobiales; Rhizobiaceae
Description: putative ncRNA
Source: RNAcentral